GGCCAAAUCCCCACCGCAGUGCAGUGAACCCUCCUCCCCCGGCUCCCAGCACCACCGCAACAACCAUCGUGCUGAAGCAGCUGCCUUUCCCCAUCAGCGAGGAUGUCGCAAGAGGACACGGAGCCCUGAACCCACAACCGGGGGGAGGAAGCCGCCCCGAGCAGAGGCACGGCCACGAGGGACGGUACCGCGGUGGCAUCGGAACGGCGGCUCCGAGCAGACUCCCUACAAUGAAGAUCAACAGCUUCAAGAGAAGUUCUUGUGACUGGGCAGGACACAACAGUCUCCUGACAUCAACGUGCAGUAAGCAACCAAUGCUGAUGCAAAUCCCAUCUGCUGUAAUCAUGACAUCACCCCUAAUUAUAUAAUGAAUGAGGAUCUCACCACCUGCAGAGUCCUGACGUCACCAGCAGAGCUGGAGAAAGGUCCAGAGCAGGAUGAUCAAACAGUGAGUCCGUAGGAGGAGGACCUCAGCCUGGAAACCAAGCAGCUAGAGAGGCACAUCUGG
Gallus gallus (chicken) is the source of this 508-nucleotide long non-coding RNA. NCBI's taxonomy places the organism in Eukaryota, Metazoa, Chordata, Aves, Galliformes, Phasianidae. The record is from Ensembl.